CCCUUGCCCCUGUUUACACUCUUCACUUGCCCUGGAGCUGCUGAUUUGCAGCAGAAUGGGAAUUCACUGGUGGAUUGACCCAGACUAUGAGCCUUACAUCAGGAGGACAAGAAUCCCAUUGAAUUUCUUCUGAGCUGAGGUCAACUGAGCUAAAGGCUUUCCCACUGUGCUGGGUCCUGCUUGUUAUAUCGGGUUCAAAGGCUCACAGUUUGCCUUCUGUUGUCGUAUCAGAGUUCUCCCAGCUGGCUGCUGAUCCAUUGGCUCUCUGAACCAAGAGAAAGUAUCCAAAGCUACUGUAUUUUGGCUAAGAUCCUCCAGCUAGAUUUCCCAUAUUGGGCUUCCCUAACUAAUCAUUUUGUGCAGAGUCUCCUUGGGGGAUACUUUGGAUACUUGCCCUGGUAUGUGUUCCCCUCUGCCCAAUUCAGACAUUUCCAGAAGUCCUUGCAAGAUAUCUUAAGCAGGAAGAUUUUUGCAUUCCAAAAGUUUGUGAAUUCUGUCACUCCAAAAUCUGGUCAGAAACUUGAUCUAGGGAAAGCAGCAGAAGAACGUCACUUUGGAGCAAGGGACAUCGUCACUUAGAGCUCCUUGGAAGGGACAUAUUGUGCUGGAAGCCAUUCAGGUCAAGGUUCCUUCUACUCUUCAGCAUUUAGUUUCCAGUUUGAAUCAUCAGAUUUAAGUGAAUCAUCAAAUUUAAGUGAAAACAGUAAGACAGUUUCAAAAGAUUACAGCAACAUGGAGUUGACCAAAACAGCCAGCGAAUUAGCAUUCACUAUUCAGAAACAUCAGCUGUUUGCUGCUAUGGCCGACACCUUUCUGGAACAUAUGUGUCGUUUGGAUAUCGACUCAGAGCCCAUUGUUGCCCGAAAGACUGGAAUCGUCUGCACCAUUGGCCCAGCCUCCCGAUCUGUGGACAAGCUAAAAGAAAUGAUAGCAGCUGGAAUGAAUGUGGCUCGUCUAAACUUCUCCCAUGGAACUCAUGAGUACCAUUCAGAAACUAUCAAAAAUGUGCGCACAGCUACAGAAAACUUUUCUUCUAAUCCUGUUUAUUACCGGCCCAUUGCUAUAGCCUUGGACACCAAAGGACCAGAGAUCCGGACAGGACUCAUCAAGGGUAGUGGCACAGCUGAAGUGGAGCUAAAGAAGGGCAGUAAUCUCAAAAUAACUUUGGAUAAUGCCUAUAUGGAUAAAUGUGAUGAAAAUGUCCUGUGGGUAGACUACAAAAACAUUUGCAAGGUGAUGAACGUUGGUGGCAAAAUCUUUGUGGACAAUGGGCUCAUUUCUCUUCUUGUAAAGGAGAAAGGUAAAGAUUUCCUUACAACUGAAGUGGAGAAUGGUGGUAUGCUGGGCAGCCAGAAGGGUGUGAACCUUCCUGGGGCAGUUGUAGACUUGCCUGCUGUAUCUCAGAAGGAUAUCCAGGAUCUACAGUUUGCAUUAGAGCAAGAGGUGGAUAUGAUAUGCGCAUCUUUCAUCAGAAAGGCUGAUGAUGUUCAUGCAGUCAGAGAGGUCCUGGGAGAUAAAGGAAGGGACAUCAAGAUCAUCAGCAAGAUUGAAAACCAUGAAGGAGUCCGAAGAUUUGAUGAGAUCCUGGAAGCUAGUGAUGGCAUCAUGGUUGCUCGGGGGGACCUGGGUAUUGAGAUCCCAGCAGAAAAAGUCUUUCUUGCCCAGAAGAUGAUGAUUGGAAGAUGUAAUCGAGUUGGGAAACCUGUUAUUUGUGCCACUCAGAUGCUUGAGAGCAUGAUUAAGAAGCCACGGCCCACACGUGCUGAAGGUAGUGAUGUAGCCAAUGCUGUUCUGGAUGGAGCCGAUUGUAUCAUGCUUUCUGGAGAGACUGCCAAAGGAGACUAUCCAGUAGAAGCUGUGCGGAUGCAACACUUGAUAGCUAGGGAGGCUGAAGCAGCCACAUACCACCGCCACCUUUUUGAAGGACUUCUUCGAUGCUCAACAUGCACAGACACUGCAGAAGCCAUGGCAGUGGGUGCAGUAGAGGCUUCUUAUAAGUGUUUAUCAGCAGCUUUGAUAGUUCUGACAGAGAGUGGCAAGUCUGCUCAUCAGGUGGCCAGGUAUCGUCCUAGGAUCCCCAUCAUAGCUGUGACUCGUUGUGCUCAGGCUGCACGUCAGGCCCAUCUUUAUCGAGGUGUCUUCCCUGUGCUGUGCAGAGAUGCUGUUCAUGAAUCAUGGGCUGAAGAUGUGGAUAUCAGGGUUAAGUUAGGCAUGAAUGUUGGCAAAGCUCACGGCUUUUUCAAGAAAGAUGAUGUGGUCAUUGUCCUAAAUGGUUGGCGUCCAGGUCCAGGCUUCACCAACACUAUGCGGCUGCUGGCAGUGCCAUAAAAGAGCAUUUGAAGAUGUUCUUGUGGGACUUCAGCAUGAUCCCUUCCCUGCUCCUGCCUGCAUCCAUUAGAUCUGCAACUGUUAUUGGUGUUGUCCAUACUUAGCUAGUAGAGGCUUUAUACAGCUAAAACACUCCUACAAAAAAAAAAACAAAAAAAAAACAACACAAUUAAAGUCUCUUCUUAAAGAAACUUAAUUAGACUUAUCUUCCUUCCUCCUCAACUAGAAACAUCAGUAUCAAUCAGUUUAGCACAGCUCUAGUGGUGUGUAAAGAUAGAGCAGCUGUGGCUUAGUUGGGGUACCACAGACCAUUUUUGACAUGGGAUUAAAGUACAUGCAUAAGUAUUGUGUUUUAAAUUGAUCUAGAUAUUCUUUGUACACACUUAAGUAAACAUUAGCCACAGUCUCUCUAAGUACAAGUUCUCAAUGUAUAUGGGCCUCUACUUUUCUGACUAGAGGAACUCU
Molecule: RNA transcript, 2793 nt
Organism: Sarcophilus harrisii (Tasmanian devil)
Lineage: Eukaryota; Metazoa; Chordata; Mammalia; Dasyuromorphia; Dasyuridae
Gene name: pyruvate kinase PKM pseudogene
Exons: 2
Source: RefSeq, a predicted model, not a curated record